UUACCUAUUAUUUGAAGUUAGCCGCCAUGGUGAAAUUGGUAGACACGCUGCUCUUAGGAAGCAGUGCUUAAGCAUCUCGGUUCGAAUCCGAGUGGCGGCA
This 100-nucleotide transfer RNA is filed under the name Piptatherum songaricum. Its description in RNAcentral is "tRNA-Leu". The stretch from base 21 to 100 matches the Rfam family "tRNA". From Rfam's summary of the family: Transfer RNA (tRNA) molecules are approximately 80 nucleotides in length. Their secondary structure includes four short double-helical elements and three loops (D, anti-codon, and T loops). Further hydrogen bonds mediate the characteristic L-shaped molecular structure. tRNAs have two regions of fundamental functional importance: the anti-codon, which is responsible for specific mRNA codon recognition, and the 3' end, to which the tRNAs corresponding amino acid is attached (by aminoacyl-tRNA synthetases). tRNAs cope with the degeneracy of the genetic code in two manners: having more than one tRNA (with a specific anti-codon) for a particular amino acid; and 'wobble' base-pairing, i.e. permitting non-standard base-pairing at the 3rd anti-codon position. The record is from RNAcentral. Lineage: Eukaryota; Viridiplantae; Streptophyta; Magnoliopsida; Poales; Poaceae.